Long non-coding RNA from Oncorhynchus keta (chum salmon), 969 nucleotides. RefSeq lists it as uncharacterized. The transcript has 3 exons. The record is from RefSeq and is a predicted model, not a curated record. NCBI's taxonomy places the organism in Eukaryota, Metazoa, Chordata, Actinopteri, Salmoniformes, Salmonidae.
AGGGGACCUAUUUGCAGUAAGGCACUCUGACUAUUGUAGCUAACGGUACUGCAAACAUUAGAUGUAGUGUAUUUUUUAAAAUGCAAUAAGAUUAACAAAUGUAGUGACAUAACAGAAUGGAUCAGAUAAAAUUGAGUUAAACCCGACCCUAUCAAUCAUUAAAACCCUGCUAUUUCAGUCAACUUGUAGUUUUUCAGCCCAUUUAGGAUCAAUAAAUAAUAUGACCUACUGGCUUCUCUCCCCAUCAAGGGGAAGUUUGACCUCCCGUAUGCAAACAGUGUCUGGUGACGCGUCUGCAGCGAGUUAGUUACUGUGCAUUUCACUGUGUCCAGCAGGUUCUAUCCCAAACCCACAUGUCAAUGUGCUCUACAGGCGUUGUAACAGUGUCUGGUGACGCGUCUGCAGUGAGUUAGUUACUGUGCAUUUCACUGUGUCCCGCAGGUUCUAUCCCAAACCCACAUGUCAAUGUGCUCUACAGGCGUUGUAACAGUGUCUGGUGACGCGUCUGCAGUGAGUUAGUUACUGUGCAUUUCACUGUGUCCAGCAGGUUCUAUCCCAAACCCACAUGUCAAUGUGCUCUACAGGCGUUGUAACAGUGUCUGGUGACGCGUCUGCAGUGAGUUAGUUACUGUGCAUUUCACUGUGUGUCCAGCAGGUUCUAUCCCAAACCCACAUGUCAAUGUGCUCUACAGGCGUUGUAACAGUGUCUGGUGACGCGUCUGCAGCGAGUUAGUUACUGUGCAUUUCACUGUGUCCAGCAGGUUCUAUCCCAAACCCACAUGUCAAUGUGCUCUACAGGCGUUGUAACAGUGUCUGGUGACGCGUCUGCAGUGAGUUAGUUACUGUGCAUUUCACUGUGUGUCCAGCAGGUUCUAUCCCAAACCCACAUGUCAAUGUGCUCUACAGGCGUUGUAACAGUGUAUAACGUGACUCUGAGUGCAUCCCAGAGGGCACCCUAUUCUCUUUAUA